UUCCGGCCUCCUUUCCUCCGCCUUUUUCCAAGGCUCCCCCAGCUAGCGAAAUCGGGUGCUGGUGUGAAUUGUUUUUUGGUGAAAUUCUACUUGAUCUCGCACGAGCCUAUCUAGGCCCGACUCUGGAAUGGCCUGUCAUCGAUCGCUUCUACCAUCGCUCAGCGACUCAAGUGGAGGCCCAAGGACUACAGUCUGCAUGAAGAAACAGCUCAGAUUUGACCAAGACCACAUAAAUAGGAGUUGGGAAAUUGGAACCAACAAUGACUGACUCCAAAUUAAUAGUGUUUAUAGCCAAAUAUAAUGAGGGUGUUGCUAUGCUUUCCUCUGUACAAGCUGGUGGGGUAUCAAUUCGUUCUUCCUUAACUUUGGGACUUUCACAGGGUUCCUGCAAUUCGUUUUUGACAAUGUUCAACAUAAUGUUCAAGGGGUUUUCAACUGGUGUCUUGCUGGGAGAUGGUGUACAAUCAAAUGACGACGUCUACAAAAUGAAAAGCCCUUUAAGUACUGAUGAAAGUUCAGAAUUACCAUAUGAAAUAGCAUCUAGUUUUAUAAGACCCUAGUAUUGAUAAAGGAACACACAUAUACCAAAUGCAACUGAAGUACUUGCUUC
This is a long non-coding RNA of Carlito syrichta (Philippine tarsier), 610 nucleotides long. RefSeq lists it as uncharacterized. NCBI's taxonomy places the organism in Eukaryota, Metazoa, Chordata, Mammalia, Primates, Tarsiidae. The transcript is spliced from 3 exons. The record is from RefSeq and is a predicted model, not a curated record.